This 1008-nucleotide ribosomal RNA is filed under the name Vibrio nigripulchritudo. RNAcentral describes it as "bacterial SSU rRNA". It matches the Rfam family "Bacterial small subunit ribosomal RNA", at positions 434 to 1437 of the family's 1533-position model. The record is from RNAcentral. Lineage: Bacteria; Pseudomonadati; Pseudomonadota; Gammaproteobacteria; Vibrionales; Vibrionaceae.
UUCAGCAGUGAGGAAGGGUGUGUAUUUAUAGAUGCACAUUUUGACGUUAGCUGCAGAAGAAGCACCGGCUAACUCCGUGCCAGCAGCCGCGGUAAUACGGAGGGUGCGAGCGUUAAUCGGAAUUACUGGGCGUAAAGCGCAUGCAGGUGGUUUGUUAAGUCAGAUGUGAAAGCCCGGGGCUCAACCUCGGAACUGCAUUUGAAACUGGCAGGCUAGAGUACUGUAGAGGGGGGUAGAAUUUCAGGUGUAGCGGUGAAAUGCGUAGAGAUCUGAAGGAAUACCGGUGGCGAAGGCGGCCCCCUGGACAGAUACUGACACUCAGAUGCGAAAGCGUGGGGAGCAAACAGGAUUAGAUACCCUGGUAGUCCACGCCGUAAACGAUGUCUACUUGGAGGUUGUGGCCUUGAGCCGUGGCUUUCGGAGCUAACGCGUUAAGUAGACCGCCUGGGGAGUACGGUCGCAAGAUUAAAACUCAAAUGAAUUGACGGGGGCCCGCACAAGCGGUGGAGCAUGUGGUUUAAUUCGAUGCAACGCGAAGAACCUUACCUACUCUUGACAUCCAUAGAACUUAGCAGAGAUGCUUUGGUGCCUUCGGGAACUAUGAGACAGGUGCUGCAUGGCUGUCGUCAGCUCGUGUUGUGAAAUGUUGGGUUAAGUCCCGCAACGAGCGCAACCCUUAUCCUUGUUUGCCAGCACUUCGGGUGGGAACUCCAGGGAGACUGCCGGUGAUAAACCGGAGGAAGGUGGGGACGACGUCAAGUCAUCAUGGCCCUUACGAGUAGGGCUACACACGUGCUACAAUGGCGCAUACAGAGGGCGGCCAACUUGCGAGAGUGAGCGAAUCCCAAAAAGUGCGUCGUAGUCCGGAUUGGAGUCUGCAACUCGACUCCAUGAAGUCGGAAUCGCUUGUAAUCGUGGAUCAGAAUGCCACGGUGAAUACGUUCCCGGGCCUUGUACACACCGCCCGUCACACCAUGGGAGUGGGCUGCAAAAGAAGCAGGUAGUUUA